Molecule: long non-coding RNA, 206 nt
Filed under: Salvia miltiorrhiza (redroot sage)
Lineage: Eukaryota; Viridiplantae; Streptophyta; Magnoliopsida; Lamiales; Lamiaceae
Description: long non-coding RNA (SMIL_LNC008486)
Source: RNAcentral
UCUCACACCCCACUCUCUCUCUCUCUCUCCACACGUCAGCUCACCCCCCAGCCACCCCGGUCGGACCCUCCUCCUCCCCACACCGCUGCCGUCGAGCCCCCAGCCGCCCUCUACUGCUGAGAUCCAGGUCGCCGCCGCCGAUUGACCAUGGUGGAGAAGGCGGCGUGUGCCUUCGGCGAAGAUCUGGGCAACGCCAAGUUCAAUUU